CUGCACACACACAUGAUGCACCCCAUUUUCAGUCCACCAAAAUCUAAGUUUCUGAACAAAUCGACUCGAAACAACUCCAACGACUGUCGAAUCAGAUCGGAACUCAGUCCAAUCUCGAACCAUAAAGUUUCAUCGACGACUAUACUCACAAUUCGCUCCAUAAUCACUUCUCUUUAGCAAAAUUACACCGGACUCGAGGUGUCGCAGUUUUAAGACAGGAGAAUCUUGUAACUAGACCCAUCCCGAUCUCGGGCGAAAUGUAUAGAACUCCAAUUCAGAAGCAAGAGUUCAUUGGGCAUCAUUGAAUUCUCCGGAUAAAGAUAACACACUGCACGAUGAAAUGCAAUGCGAUGCAAAGCUUACGUGGGGCUUACCAAGUUAGUGGGCGAACCGAUGAAGUCGCAGCGAGCCCCCAGCGCUCCCUUUCCCUUGCGCCUCAUCGGCUGAACGACCGCAGCCUGAAAACAGCAUGAACACAGAUUUACCUAACUCAAGAUCUGGUGCAGAAAUGAACUAACGAAGGCAAUGCAUAACCAGCAAAUCCAUCAGCCUGCAAAACCCAAUGAUGGUUUCUCGAGGGGCUGGCUUCCUACCAGGCUUCGCACAGGAGCCGCUGGAGCAGCGGGUCUGAGGCCAUUGAACUGAGGGAGAGAUGUCAUCACUGUUGUCGCCAUUGUCGUGCUAGAACUGAAAGAAAAAGAGAGAGAUCAAGCUGCAGAUUUUCUGGAGUCUCUCCUUUUCU
Molecule: long non-coding RNA, 742 nt
Filed under: Eucalyptus grandis
Lineage: Eukaryota; Viridiplantae; Streptophyta; Magnoliopsida; Myrtales; Myrtaceae
Description: long non-coding RNA (EGRA_LNC002142)
Source: RNAcentral